UAGGGAAUAUUAGAAAUGGACGAAAGUCUGAUCUAGCAACACCGCGUGUGCGAAGAAGGCCUUCGGGUUGUAAAGCACUUUUUGGAAGGAUUAGGAAGGAAUGUACUUCCAGAAUAAGUCUCGGCUAACUACGUGCCAGCAGCCGCGGUAACACGUAGGAGGCAAACGUUAUCCGGAUUUACUGGGCGUAAAGCGCGUGUAGGUGGUUCUGUAAGUAGGGCGUGAAAGCUCCUGGCUCAACUGGGAGAGGCCGUUCUAAACUGCAGAGCUAGAGGAUGGUAUAGGGAGGUGGAAUUCCGGGUGUAGCGGUGGAAUGCGCAGAUAUCCGGAGGAACACCAGUGGAGAAAGCGGCCUCCUGGACCAUUCCUGACGCUCAGACGCGAAAGCUAGGGUAGCAAACGG
This 403-nucleotide ribosomal RNA is filed under the name uncultured bacterium. RNAcentral describes it as "bacterial SSU rRNA". It matches the Rfam family "Bacterial small subunit ribosomal RNA", at positions 355 to 775 of the family's 1533-position model. The record is from RNAcentral.